This 253-nucleotide ribosomal RNA is filed under the name uncultured bacterium. RNAcentral's name for it is "partial 16S ribosomal RNA". It matches the Rfam family "Bacterial small subunit ribosomal RNA", at positions 524 to 776 of the family's 1533-position model. The record is from RNAcentral.
UACGUAGGGGCCGAGCGUUGUCCGGAGUUAUUGGGCGUAAAGCGCGCGCAGGCGGCCUCGCGCGCCCGACGUGAAAGCCCCCGGCUUAACCGGGGAGGGUCGUUGGGGACGGCGGGGCUUGAGGGCGGGAGAGGUCGGUGGAAUUCCCGGUGUAGUGGUGAAAUGCGUAGAUAUCUGGAGGAACACCGGUGGCGAAGGCGGCAUCCUGGACCGGCAUUGACGCUGAGGCGCGAAAGCCAGGGGAGCAAACGGG